Molecule: long non-coding RNA, 289 nt
Filed under: Daucus carota (carrot)
Lineage: Eukaryota; Viridiplantae; Streptophyta; Magnoliopsida; Apiales; Apiaceae
Description: long non-coding RNA (DCAR_LNC007579)
Source: RNAcentral
CAAUGAAAUUUCCAACCGACGAAGAAGAAUGCUUUAAGGUGGAGCCACUAGAAGCUGUUGAAAAGUCUGAGAUGGAGCAAAAGCCAAGGCCAUGUACCUUAGAGAGCGUCUUAACAGGGGAUUCUGAUUUCGAAGAUGAAGGAGUAGAAGAGCUUAGAAAUUUUCAGGAGCAUCUUAAACCAUCUAUUGAAGAAGCUCCUAUAAUCGAACUCAAACUACCACCGGAUCUCUUAAGUGAUGUGCAGUUUAGAAGGUUGUCACGGCGCAUAGAUGACAUGCAUGACAUUCA